GUCCACUCGACUCGUGUCCUCCUCACUUCCUCGCUAUGAAGACGCCGUCGUCACUGCUGCGUACGGCGAAACAAGCUAGUUGUGCGAUGUUUGCUUGCUUGGACCAACAACGGGCAAUCCGCUUCCCCCUUCCGCCCGCUACGAUGGCUGGCCGUGUCUCUAGCUUUUAUCUUCGUCACAUAUACAGUCAUGCAUUUGUCUUUGCUCUAGAUAAGCACGCGGUUGGAUUUCUUUCGGUCCAGAUAGAGAGAUAUAUAUCGUCGUGAAUAUAAAGUGGGAACAAGGCAACAACGGUCGCUUUCCGAUGAGUUUUUUUUUCUUGCUAAAUUAUUAAAUGCUCUGCACUGCACUCAGGAGGAGGAUCUAUCGGCCCUAGCACGUUCUAGCAAUGUAACAGUACAUGUGUGCGCCCAAUAUAUUUUAUCCAAAAUAAUUAUGGUCAAAUA
Sorghum bicolor (sorghum) is the source of this 446-nucleotide long non-coding RNA. RefSeq lists it as uncharacterized. The record is from RefSeq and is a predicted model, not a curated record. The transcript is spliced from 2 exons. Lineage: Eukaryota; Viridiplantae; Streptophyta; Magnoliopsida; Poales; Poaceae.